RNAcentral lists this ribosomal RNA (465 nucleotides) under Vreelandella stevensii. RNAcentral's name for it is "partial 16S ribosomal RNA". It matches the Rfam family "Bacterial small subunit ribosomal RNA", at positions 338 to 795 of the family's 1533-position model. The record is from RNAcentral. Lineage: Bacteria; Pseudomonadati; Pseudomonadota; Gammaproteobacteria; Oceanospirillales; Halomonadaceae.
CCUACGGGGGGCAGCAGUGGGGAAUAUUGGACAAUGGGGGGAACCCUGAUCCAGCCAUGCCGCGUGUGUGAAGAAGGCCCUCGGGUUGUAAAGCACUUUCAGUGAGGAAGAACGCCUGGUGGUUAAUACCCAUCAGGAAAGACAUCACUCACAGAAGAAGCACCGGCUAACUCCGUGCCAGCAGCCGCGGUAAUACGGAGGGUGCGAGCGUUAAUCGGAAUUACUGGGCGUAAAGCGCGCGUAGGUGGCUUGAUAAGCCGGUUGUGAAAGCCCCGGGCUCAACCUGGGAACGGCAUCCGGAACUGUCAAGCUAGAGUGCAGGAGAGGAAGGUAGAAUUCCCGGUGUAGCGGUGAAAUGCGUAGAGAUCGGGAGGAAUACCAGUGGCGAAGGCGGCCUUCUGGACUGACACUGACACUGGGGUGCGAAAGCGUGGGUAGCAAACAGGAUUAGAUACCCUAGUAGUC